Molecule: transfer RNA, 73 nt
Filed under: Actinomycetota bacterium
Lineage: Bacteria; Bacillati; Actinomycetota
Description: tRNA-Asn
Rfam family: tRNA
About the family: Transfer RNA (tRNA) molecules are approximately 80 nucleotides in length. Their secondary structure includes four short double-helical elements and three loops (D, anti-codon, and T loops). Further hydrogen bonds mediate the characteristic L-shaped molecular structure. tRNAs have two regions of fundamental functional importance: the anti-codon, which is responsible for specific mRNA codon recognition, and the 3' end, to which the tRNAs corresponding amino acid is attached (by aminoacyl-tRNA synthetases). tRNAs cope with the degeneracy of the genetic code in two manners: having more than one tRNA (with a specific anti-codon) for a particular amino acid; and 'wobble' base-pairing, i.e. permitting non-standard base-pairing at the 3rd anti-codon position.
Source: RNAcentral
UCCGAGGUAGCUCAGUUGGCAGAGCAGCUGACUGUUAAUCAGCGGGUCGCAGGUUCGAGCCCUGCCCUCGGAG